Molecule: ribosomal RNA, 336 nt
Filed under: uncultured bacterium
Lineage: Bacteria
Description: bacterial SSU rRNA
Rfam family: Bacterial small subunit ribosomal RNA
Source: RNAcentral
AGGGUUUGAUUAUGGCUCAGGAUGAACGCUAGCUACAGGCUUAACACAUGCAAGUCGAGGGGCAGCAUUUUAGUUUGCUUGCAAACUAAAGAUGGCGACCGGCGCACGGGUGAGUAACACGUAUCCAACCUGCCGAUAACUCGGGGAUAGCCUUUCGAAAGAAAGAUUAAUACUCGAUAGUAUAGUUUCACCGCAUGAUGAGACUAUUAAAGAAUUUCGGUUAUCGAUGGGGAUGCGUUCCAUUAGGCAGUUGGUGAGGUAACGGCUCACCAAACCUUCGAUGGAUAGGGGUUCUGAGAGGAAGGUCCCCCACAUUGGAACUGAGACACGGUCCAA